AGUUGGUCUGAGGGCAGUGGUGUUUACAACUGAUUGCUCACAACCAGUUACACAUUUCUGCAACCCUUCUCCACACCUAAGUGAUCCUGCUUCACUUGACUCGCCUUUA
This 109-nucleotide non-coding RNA is filed under the name Castor canadensis (American beaver). Lineage: Eukaryota; Metazoa; Chordata; Mammalia; Rodentia; Castoridae. The record is from RNAcentral.